UACGUAGGGGGCAAGCGUUGUCCGGAUUUAUUGGGCGUAAAGAGCGUGUAGGCGGCCGCACAGGUCCGUUGUGAAAACUGGAGGCUUAACCUUCAGACGUCGAUGGAAACCGUGCGGCUAGAGUCCGGAAGAGGAGAAUGGAAUUCCUGGUGUAGCGGUGAAAUGCGCAGAUAUCAGGAGGAACACCAAUGGCGAAGGCAGCACUCUGGGACGUGACUGACGCUGAGACGCGAAAGCGUGGGGAGCAAACAGG
RNAcentral lists this ribosomal RNA (253 nucleotides) under uncultured bacterium. RNAcentral describes it as "partial 16S ribosomal RNA". It matches the Rfam family "Bacterial small subunit ribosomal RNA", at positions 524 to 776 of the family's 1533-position model. The record is from RNAcentral.